GUGGGGAAUAUUGGACAAUGGGCGAAAGCCUGAUCCAGCCAUGCCGCGUGUGUGAAGAAGGUCUUCGGAUUGUAAAGCACUUUAAGUUGGGAGGAAGGGCAGUAAGUUAAUACCUUGCUGUUUUGACGUUACCGACAGAAUAAGCACCGGCUAACUUCGUGCCAGCAGCCGCGGUAAUACGAAGGGUGCAAGCGUUAAUCGGAAUUACUGGGCGUAAAGCGCGCGUAGGUGGUUUUGUAAGUUGGAGGUGAAAUCCCCGGGCUCAACCUGGGAACUGCCUCCAAAACUGCAUGACUAGAGUACGGUAGAGGGUAGUGGAAUUUCCUGUGUAGCGGUGAAAUGCGUAGAUAUAGGAAGGAACACCAGUGGCGAAGGCGACUUCCUGGACUGAUACUGACACUGAGGUGCGAAAGCGUGGGGAGCAAACAGGAUUAGAUACCCCGGUAGUCC
This 450-nucleotide ribosomal RNA is filed under the name uncultured bacterium. RNAcentral's name for it is "bacterial SSU rRNA". It matches the Rfam family "Bacterial small subunit ribosomal RNA", at positions 354 to 796 of the family's 1533-position model. The record is from RNAcentral.